RNAcentral lists this ribosomal RNA (468 nucleotides) under uncultured bacterium. Its description in RNAcentral is "partial 16S ribosomal RNA". It matches the Rfam family "Bacterial small subunit ribosomal RNA", at positions 28 to 507 of the family's 1533-position model. The record is from RNAcentral.
GAUGAACGCUGGCGGCGUGCUUAACACAUGCAAGUCGAACGGAAAGGCCCAAGCUUGCUUGGGUACUCGAGUGGCGAACGGGUGGGUAACACGUGGGUGAUCUGCCCUGCACUUCGGGAUAAGCCUGGGAAACUGGGUCUAAUACCGGAUAGGACGAUGGUUUGGAUGCCAUUGUGGAAAGUUUUUUCGGUGUGGGAUGAGCUCGCGGCCUAUCAGCUUGUUGGUGGGGUAAUGGCCUACCAAGGCGUCGACGGGUAGCCGGCCUGAGAGGGUGUACGGCCACAUUGGGACUGAGAUACGGCCCAGACUCCUACGGGAGGCGGCAGUGGGGAAUAUUGCACAAUGGGCGCAAGCCUGAUGCAGCGACGCCGCGUGGGGGAUGACGGCCUUCGGGUUGUAAACUCCUUUCGCUAGGGACGAAGCGUUUUUGUGACGGUACCUGGAGAAGAAGCACCGGCUAACUACGUG